GACGAACGCUGGCGGCGCGCCUAAUACAUGCAAGUCGAACGGGUCUCCUUCGGGAGGUCAGUGGCGGACGGGUGAGUAACACGUGGGUAACCUACCCCGAAGACCGGGACAACCCGAGGAAACUCGGGCUAAUACCGGAUGUGGUCACUGUGCACAAGUGCAGUGAACAAAGGAAGCUUCGGCCUCCGCUUCGGGAGGGGCCCGCGGCCCAUUAGCUUGUUGGUGAGGUAACGGCUCACCAAGGCUUCUAUGGGUAGCUGGUCUGAGAGGACGAUCAGCCACACUGGGACUGAGACACGGCCCAGACUCCUACGGGAGGCAGCAGUGGGGAAUCUUGCGCAAUGCACGACAGUGUGACGCAGCAACGCCGCGUGGGGAAGACGGCCUU
Molecule: ribosomal RNA, 388 nt
Filed under: uncultured bacterium
Lineage: Bacteria
Description: bacterial SSU rRNA
Rfam family: Bacterial small subunit ribosomal RNA
Source: RNAcentral